This 301-nucleotide ribosomal RNA is filed under the name uncultured bacterium. RNAcentral describes it as "partial 16S ribosomal RNA". It matches the Rfam family "Bacterial small subunit ribosomal RNA", at positions 509 to 807 of the family's 1533-position model. The record is from RNAcentral.
CAGCAGCCGCGGGAAUACGUAGGGUGCAAGCGUUAAUUGGAAUUACUGGGCGUAAAGCGUGCGCAGGCGGUUAUAUAAGACAGAUGUGAAAUCCCCGGGCUCAACCUGGGAACUGCAUUUGUGACUGUAUAGCUAGAGUACGGCAGAGGGGGAUGGAAUUCCGCGUGUAGCAGUGAAAUGCGUAGAUAUGCGGAGGAACACCGAUGGCGAAGGCAAUCCCCUGGGCCUGUACUGACGCUCAUGCACGAAAGCGUGGGGAGCAAACAGGAUUAGAUACCCCUGUAGUCCCUGUCUCUUAUAC